RNAcentral lists this transfer RNA (71 nucleotides) under Anomaloglossus rufulus. RNAcentral's name for it is "tRNA-Tyr". It matches the Rfam family "tRNA". From Rfam's summary of the family: Transfer RNA (tRNA) molecules are approximately 80 nucleotides in length. Their secondary structure includes four short double-helical elements and three loops (D, anti-codon, and T loops). Lineage: Eukaryota; Metazoa; Chordata; Amphibia; Anura; Aromobatidae. The record is from RNAcentral.
GGUAAGAUGGCCGAGAGAGCAGGCAGUGGGCUGUAGACCCAAACACAAAGGUUCAAAUCCUUUUCUUAUCA